AAGAUUUUAGAAAAAAAUAGAGAAAUAGGCAGAAAAAUCCCAUGGAAAGGAUCUUGCAUGCAUAGGCUCCGCAAAUUGCGUGCACGUGUACGCGAGCAGCCAACACAAGAUGUGUGUACUGUACGCACAUCUCAUCUACAUGGGGCACGAGGUACAGUUUGCGCACGCGUCCCAUCGCACACAGAUAGGUGCGGUUCCGUGUGCAUAUUCACACGGUAGGCUUGCGUACGGCUGGCGGCAGGCUGGGGUGUCGUGCACUGCCUCAGGCAAAGCAUGUCGCUACCUUGCAUACCGUGCGUUGCCUUCAGGCGUGCCCCGCUGCUAGUUGGGCAUUGUGUUGUUGGCCUAGGCGGUGUGCCACCAUCGCUUGGGUGAUGUGCCACUGCCUUUUGGGUGGCGUGCCUUUGGUUUUUGUGCCGCCAUCACGUCGCGUUGUCCAUCCAUCGGUCACAUUCGUCAGCCAUCACAUCUCACUUUUUCCAUUAACUUUCUCUCUCCUCACUAGAUUUUUUCACUUGGCACAAAUCCAAUAAUCCUUAUUUUUUAUAAAUAGGGACCCUCUUUU
This 565-nucleotide long non-coding RNA is filed under the name Carica papaya (papaya). RNAcentral's name for it is "long non-coding RNA (CPAP_LNC012979)". Lineage: Eukaryota; Viridiplantae; Streptophyta; Magnoliopsida; Brassicales; Caricaceae. The record is from RNAcentral.